GGGAGCUUGCUCCCUGGUGGCGAGCGGCGGACGGGUGAGUAAUGCAUAGGAAUCUGCCCGGUAGUGGGGGAUAACGUGGGGAAACCCACGCUAAUACCGCAUACGUCCUACGGGAGAAAGCAGGGGAUCUUCGGACCUUGCGCUAUCGGAUGAGCCUAUGUCGGAUUAGCUAGUUGGUAAGGUAACGGCUUACCAAGGCAACGAUCCGUAGCUGGUCUGAGAGGAUGAUCAGCCACACUGGGACUGAGACACGGCCCAGACUCCUACGGGAGGCAGCAGUGGGGAAUAUUGGACAAUGGGCGAAAGCCUGAUCCAGCCAUGCCGCGUGUGUGAAGAAGGCUUUCGGGUUGUAAAGCACUUUCAGCGAGGAAGAAAGCCUCUGGGCCAAUACCCCAGAGGAAGGACAUCACUCGCAGAAGAAGCACCGGCUAACUCCGUGCCAGCAGCCGCGGUAAUACGGAGGGUGCGAGCGUUAAUCGGAAUUACUGGGCGUAAAGCGCGCGUAGGUGGCUUGGCACGCCGGUUGUGAAAGCCCCGGGCUCAACCUGGGAACUGCAUCCGGAACGGCCAGGCUAGAGUGCAGGAGAGGAAGGUAGAAUUCCCGGUGUAGCGGUGAAAUGCGUAGAGAUCGGGAGGAAUACCAGUGGCGAAGGCGGCCUUCUGGCCUGACACUGACACUGAGGUGCGAAAGCGUGGGUAGCAAACAGGAUUAGAUACCCUGGUAGUCCAC
This 730-nucleotide ribosomal RNA is filed under the name bacterium SCSIO13123. Its description in RNAcentral is "bacterial SSU rRNA". It matches the Rfam family "Bacterial small subunit ribosomal RNA", at positions 74 to 798 of the family's 1533-position model. The record is from RNAcentral.